Oncorhynchus tshawytscha (Chinook salmon) is the source of this 1496-nucleotide long non-coding RNA. NCBI's taxonomy places the organism in Eukaryota, Metazoa, Chordata, Actinopteri, Salmoniformes, Salmonidae. The record is from Ensembl.
ACCCAGACCCUUACCAUAACCCUUACCCUCACCUUGACCCUAACCAUUACCCUCACCCUCACCUUGACCCUAACCAUUACCCUAACCAUUACCAUAACCCUAACCAUUACCAUAACCCUCACCUUGACCCUAACCAUUACCCUCACCUUGACCCUGACCAUUACCAUAACCCUCACCUUGACCCUAACCAUUACCUUGACCCUAACCCUGACCCUAUCCCUGACCAUAACCCUCACCUUGACCCUGACCCUUCCAGCAAACCACUGGUUCCUGUGGAUGUGUCGAGAUCGAGAACACACCCUCACUAUCUUCUCUCUCUCCUAUUGGCAGUGGGAAGGGUCUAGCGUGCAUAAGCAGGGAAGUUCGAGGCUGACAGAGGUGUUUGUGUGUAUUGAGGGUGUGUGUCCCCCGUCCGUGUGUGUAUGGAGUGUGUCCAUUGCGUGUGCCCGUGUCUGUAUUGUGUGUGUCCGUGUGUGUGUGUAUUUAGUGUGUGUGUGUGUGUGUAUUUAGUGUGUGCCCGUGUCUGUAUUGUGUGUGUCCGUGUGUGUGUGUAUUUAGUGUGUGUCCGUGUGUGUGUGUGUAUUUAUGUGUGUCCCGUGUGUGUGUGUAUUGAGUGUGUGUCCGUGUGUGUGUGUAUUGAGUGUGUGUCCGUGUGUGUGUGUAUUGAGUGUGUAUCUGUGUGUAUUGAGUGUGUCCGUGUGUGUGUGUGUGUGUGUGUAAUGAGUGUGUAUGUGUGUGUAUCCGUGUGUGUGUCCGUGUGUGUGUGUAUGGAGUGUGUCCAUUGUGUGUGCCCGUGUCUGUAUUGUGUGUGUCCGUGUGUGUUUGUAUUUAGUGUGUGUCCGUGUGUGUGUGUGUAUUUAGUGUGUGUCCGUGUGUGUGUGUAUUUAGUGUGUGUCCGUGUGUGUGUGUAUUGAGUGUGUGUCCGUGUGUGUGUGUAUUGAGUGUGUAUCUGUGUGUAUUGAGUGUGUCCGUGUGUGUGUGUGUGUGUGUGUAAUGAGUGUGUAUGUGUGUGUAUCCGUGUGUGUCCGUGUAUGUAUUUAGUGUGUGUCCGUGUGUGUAUUGAGUGUGUAUCUGUGUGUAUUGAGUGUGUCCGUGUGUGUGUGUGUGUGUGUGUAAUGAGUGUGUAUGUGUGUGUAUCCGUGUGUGUGUCCGUGUGUGUGUGUAUGUGUGUAUUUAGUGUGUGUCCGUGUGUGUGUCAGUGUGUGUAUGUGUUGUGUGUGUGUCAGUGUGUGUAUUGAGUGUGUCCGUUUGUGUGUCUCCGUGUGUGUAUUGAGUGUGUAUAUCCGUGUGUGUGUCAGUGUGUGUGUGUCAGUGUGUGUAUUGAGUGUGUCCGUUUGUGUGUCUCCGUGUGUGUAUUGAGUGUGUGUGUCCGUGUGUAUAUUGUGUGUGUAAGUCCGUGUGUGUAUUGAGUGUGUAAGUGUGUCCAUGUGUAUUGAGUGUGUUAGUGUGUUGCACAGGGGGGCAAGUAUGCCCAGCACCUUGGGGGUAGAGUCAGG